This 26-nucleotide non-coding RNA is filed under the name Mus musculus (house mouse). Lineage: Eukaryota; Metazoa; Chordata; Mammalia; Rodentia; Muridae. The record is from RNAcentral.
UGCCACCGUUUGUGAGCCUAUGUGCU